Molecule: ribosomal RNA, 429 nt
Filed under: Chloroflexota bacterium
Lineage: Bacteria; Bacillati; Chloroflexota
Description: Chloroflexi bacterium partial 16S ribosomal RNA
Rfam family: Bacterial small subunit ribosomal RNA
Source: RNAcentral
UGGGGAAUAUUGCACAAUGGGCGCAAGCCUGAUGCAGCCAUGCCGCGUGUAUGAAGAAGGCCUUCGGGUUGUAAAGUACUUUCAGUCGGGAGGAAGGUGGUAAGGUUAAUAACCUUAUCAAUUAACGUUACCGACAGAAGAAGCACCGGCUAACUCCGUGCCAGCAGCCGCGGUAAUACGGAGGGUGCAAGCGUUAAUCGGAAUUACUGGGCGUAAAGCGCACGCAGGCGGUUGAUUGAGUCAGAUGUGAAAUCCCCGGGCUUAACCCGGGAAUUGCAUCUGAUACUGGUCAGCUAGAGUCUUGUAGAGGGGGGUAGAAUUCCAUGUGUAGCGGUGAAAUGCGUAGAGAUGUGGAGGAAUACCGGUGGCGAAGGCGGCCCCCUGGACAAAGACUGACGCUCAGGUGCGAAAGCGUGGGGAGCAAACAGG